RNAcentral lists this ribosomal RNA (455 nucleotides) under uncultured Rhodoferax sp. RNAcentral's name for it is "bacterial SSU rRNA". It matches the Rfam family "Bacterial small subunit ribosomal RNA", at positions 923 to 1382 of the family's 1533-position model. Lineage: Bacteria; Pseudomonadati; Pseudomonadota; Betaproteobacteria; Burkholderiales; Comamonadaceae. The record is from RNAcentral.
GCACAAGCGGUGAUGAUGUGUUAAUUCGAUGCAACGCGAAAACCUUACCCACCUUUGACAUGUACGGAACCCUUUAGAGAUAGAGGGGUGCUCGAAAGAGAGCCGUAACACAGGUGCUGCAUGGCUGUCGUCAGCUCGUGUCGUGGGAUGUUGGGUUAAGUCCCGCAACGAGCGCAACCCUUGUCAUUAGUUGCUACAUUCAGUUGGGCACUCUAAUGAGACUGCCGGUGACAAGCCGGAGGAAGGUGGGGAUGACGUCAAGUCCUCAUGGCCCUUAUAGGUGGGGCUACACACGUCAUACAAUGGCUGGUACAAAGGGUUGCCAACCCGCGAGGGGGAGCCAAUCCCAUAAAGCCAGUCGUAGUCCGGAUCGUAGUCUGCAACUCGACUACGUGAAGUCGGAAUCGCUAGUAAUCGUGGAUCAGAAUGUCACGGUGAAUACGUUCCCGGGUCUU